Long non-coding RNA from Fukomys damarensis (Damara mole-rat), 365 nucleotides. RefSeq lists it as uncharacterized. NCBI's taxonomy places the organism in Eukaryota, Metazoa, Chordata, Mammalia, Rodentia, Bathyergidae. The transcript has 3 exons. The record is from RefSeq and is a predicted model, not a curated record.
AAAACAGCUUCUGAGACGGAAACAGAUAUCUGUGCUGAAUGGGAGAUAAAGACCAUCACGAGUGCUCUGAAGACCUACCUAAGAAUGCUUCCAGGACCACUUAUGAUGUAUCAGUUUCAAAGAAGUUUCAUCAAAGCUGCAAAACUGGAGAACCAGGAGACUCGGGUCUCUGAAAUCCACAGCCUUGUUUAUCGGCUCCCAGAGAAAAAUCGACAGAUGUUACAGCUGCUCAUGAACCACUUGGCCAAGUAGGUUUAUGACUGAUUGCUGGCCCCAUUUUCACCCCCAGAAUGUUCUUAUCUUAGCAGUAAAGCUAGUCUCCCUUCUGCUUAUGUUUCCCUCUCCCACUAUUGCAUCAGGUAUGC